Long non-coding RNA from Trichechus manatus latirostris (Florida manatee), 417 nucleotides. RefSeq lists it as uncharacterized. NCBI's taxonomy places the organism in Eukaryota, Metazoa, Chordata, Mammalia, Sirenia, Trichechidae. The transcript has 3 exons. The record is from RefSeq and is a predicted model, not a curated record.
UUCAGUUAGCAGCAGAGCUCUUAAUCACUGUGCCACCAGGGCUAGAGAGAAGAUUCGCAGCUUUUCUGUCACGUGUGGACCCUCUGGUGUCUCCUGGAGAAGACAGAGGGCAGUUGACCUUUCCCCGAAAGAGGGUAAAGAGCAGCCGGCGCCACCUGAGGAACCACAAACUCACUGCUUCCCACCCCUCCAAACACACCUACCUACCCUUGGCCAAAUCCAGUCGGACAAACCCAAUAACGUGUCUCCUGAAGCUUCUCUGCAGGCCUAUCAGGAAUCUUUAUCCCGGGAGCGGUGGUGCACAGCAAUGGUCAGACACUGAAGAGCCCUGGCAACUAACUACCUCCCCAACUCAGGCAAGGGAGAAGACAACAUAGCAGGCUGCUGGACGCUUUCAAACCUGAUGCUGGCCACCCA